GGAAGCAGAUGAAAAUGCUCCGAACGGCUUGAUUCGGCUUUGCAAGCCGGAGGUCACCGGUUCGAUCCCGGUACGCUCCA
This 80-nucleotide transfer RNA is filed under the name Actinomycetota bacterium. Its description in RNAcentral is "tRNA-Ala". The record is from RNAcentral. Lineage: Bacteria; Bacillati; Actinomycetota.